This 44-nucleotide non-coding RNA is filed under the name Echinostoma caproni. Lineage: Eukaryota; Metazoa; Platyhelminthes; Trematoda; Plagiorchiida; Echinostomatidae. The record is from RNAcentral.
CAAUGCUGACGAGUCCCAAACAGGACGAAACAACUGUUCAGUGC